This is a non-coding RNA of Pelobates cultripes (western spadefoot toad), 210 nucleotides long. NCBI's taxonomy places the organism in Eukaryota, Metazoa, Chordata, Amphibia, Anura, Pelobatidae. The record is from the annotation of a GenBank genome assembly.
GGGAGCCUCUCGUUUGGUUCUAGAGUGUACAUGUGUAAGGUUUAAUGUGUUAUGACUACCAUCUGGAAUAAUGUGGAUAGGCAUUAUGACUUUGGUUAGGGCACACUCCCCCCACCAUUGCCCAGCUAAUUGGGACCUCAAUUGUUUGUCACCACAUAACUUUGUGUGGUUCAUUAGCAGUGAUACAGGUGGAUUAUGGUAAGUUGAGCA